GAUGAACGCUGGCGGCGUGCCUAAUACAUGCAAGUCGAGCGAAAGUACGUUAACCCCGCGUCCUUGCAGUCACCGGUAGAGGGUUGAGUAACAAGUGGAUAACCAACCUAUAAGACAGGGACAACAACGGGGGGGCGGAGACAAUACCGCAUAAUCUAAUGACCCAUAUGGAUCAUUACUGCAUGAUGACUUUGUUAACACUUAUAAUAGUAUCCGCGUUGCAUUAGCUAGUUGGUAAGGUAAAGGCUUACCAAGGCAACGAUGCAUAGCCGAACUGAGAGGGUGAUCGGCCACAUUGGAACUGAGACACGGUCCAGACUCCUACGGGAGGCAGCAGUAGGGAAUCUUCCACAAUGGGCGAAAGCCUGACGGAGCAACGCCGCGUGAGUGAAGAAGGUCUUCGGAUCGUAAAACCCUGUUGUUAGAGAAGAAAGUGUGUGUGAGUAACUGUGCACGUCUCGACGGUACCUAAUCAGAAAGCCACGGCUAACUACGUG
Molecule: ribosomal RNA, 497 nt
Filed under: uncultured bacterium
Lineage: Bacteria
Description: partial 16S ribosomal RNA
Rfam family: Bacterial small subunit ribosomal RNA
Source: RNAcentral